Hemicordylus capensis (graceful crag lizard) is the source of this 729-nucleotide long non-coding RNA. RefSeq lists it as uncharacterized. The transcript has 3 exons. NCBI's taxonomy places the organism in Eukaryota, Metazoa, Chordata, Lepidosauria, Squamata, Cordylidae. The record is from RefSeq and is a predicted model, not a curated record.
GAAGAAAACAAGAGGGCAAAGUGAGUCUAGUGAGUUUUACCCUGAGCCCAGAUGACCUCAUCCAGCGGCUUUAUGUACUGUUGAAGAACAUGGAAGACAAGCUCGAUCCCUAUAGUACUCCAUAUGCCAGAGGCCAUUGGGAGCAGCAGUAGCCCUCAGCACUACUUUCUGGGAUUGACCCUACAGGAUAGGGUAAUGGCCACCAGUUUGGAUGACUAUAAAAGAGGUAUAGACAAAUCCAUGGAGAUCAGGACUAUCAACUGCUACUAGACCUGAUGGCUAUAGACUGCCUCCAGGUUGAGGGGAGCAACAGCAAGAGAGAGGGCACAUGCCUUCAUCUUCUGGUUGUGGACAUCCCAGAAGCAUCUGGUGGGACACAGUGGGUGGGAAACAGGGUGCUGGACUAGGUAGGCCUUGAGUCUGAUCCAGUAAGGCUCUUCUUAUGGUCUUAGAUACAAUCUAAUUAAAUUAAAUAAGUUUGUUCAAACUACUAAACAGUCAAAGGUUCAAUAUAUAUCGCAGAAUGUUCCUUUUUAAUCUAAUGUUUUCUGGUUUUACUGAUGUUGUGUAUGGUGUACACACUUUCUCUGGCUGCGCAUUGGUCUGUGGGUUACAAGAUGAAUAUGGGACUGAAGGGGUAACUUUUAUAAUCCCUGCUGUUGUCUUAAAAUUAUAUUGUUUAUUUGUAUUAUGUUUUACAUAUUGAAAUAUUGUUUUCUAACCAUUAAA